RNAcentral lists this ribosomal RNA (453 nucleotides) under uncultured Paraprevotella sp. Its description in RNAcentral is "partial 16S ribosomal RNA". It matches the Rfam family "Bacterial small subunit ribosomal RNA", at positions 341 to 792 of the family's 1533-position model. Lineage: Bacteria; Pseudomonadati; Bacteroidota; Bacteroidia; Bacteroidales; Prevotellaceae. The record is from RNAcentral.
ACGGAAGGCAGCAGUGAGGAAUAUUGGUCAAUGGACGGAAGUCUGAACCAGCCAAGUCGCGUGAAGGAUGAAGGUAUUAUGUAUUGUAAACUUCUUUAGCAGUGGAGUAAUAAGGGGAUCGCGAUCCCUGAUGCAAGUACACUGAGAAUAAGGAUCGGCUAACUCCGUGCCAGCAGCCGCGGUAAUACGGAGGAUCCGAGCGUUAUCCGGAUUUAUUGGGUUUAAAGGGAGCGUAGGCGGGCUGUUAAGUCAGCGGUCAAAUGUCAGGGCCCAACCUUGGCAUGCCGUUGAUACUGGCGGCCUUGAGUGCACACAAGGAAGGUGGAAUUCGUCGUGUAGCGGUGAAAUGCUUAGAUAUGACGAAGAACUCCGAUUGCGAAGGCAGCCUUCUGGGGUGUUACUGACGCUGAGGCUCGAAAGCGCGGGUAUCAAACAGGAUUAGAUACCCUGGUA